Molecule: long non-coding RNA, 738 nt
Organism: Gadus macrocephalus (Pacific cod)
Lineage: Eukaryota; Metazoa; Chordata; Actinopteri; Gadiformes; Gadidae
Exons: 2
Source: RefSeq, a predicted model, not a curated record
GCCUGCGUGGGGAACAGAAACCGUUUUAAGCUCCAGACGGAGACAGUUGAAAGCGCAGGGCGACAUCUGGGCGGUUCGGCGACAAUGGCGAGCAGAUUAGCAUUGUUUGAGAUUAAAUCAGGAUAAACAGUUUUAGAAUAAAUAAAUGAGGAUCAACAGUUCUAGAUUAAUUACAUCAGCAUUAACAUCUUUAGAUUAAAUACAUUAGGUUAAACUGUUUUAAAUGAAAUCCAUUAGGUUAAACUGUUUCAGAUGAAAUCCAUUAGCAUAAACAGUUUUAGAUGGAAUAGCCUGUUCCAGCCACCAACAGGUGAAUAGAAACAUGGCCAGACAAGGCUAGAUCAAUAAUACCACAUGGGAAAUGUGGGUAUGACGGAAAGAAGUAGUCCGAGAGUAGCAGCAAUAGUAAUAAUACAGUUAUAGAAGAGCCUAAUAUUAUAAAGUCAAGUUUUGCAGUGCCUUUCAUUCAGGACUCAAGGCACUUUACACGUGGGAGUCACAGAUCAAAGUUGCAACAUUAAAGAAUAGGAAAAAUGACAAACAAAGGAUUUCAAAGUGGCCCUCCGCCUCCGACCUGUUUCAGGGCUGUUCCCCACCCAGGUGUUGACCAGGAGUCCCUCCCCAGGCCCCGAGGAGCUACCCAGCACCGCCUGGCCCAGGAGCUGGGCGUCCUGAGGGACCUGCAGGGGCUGGAAGUCUCCCUUCAGGGCUCUCUUGGUGCAGUUGCGGUUCUUCUUG